UACGGAGGGGGCUAGCGUUGUUCGGAAUUACUGGGCGUAAAGCGCACGUAGGCGGCUUUGCAAGUCAGAGGUGAAAGCCCAGGGCUCAACCCUGGAAUUGCCUUUGAGACUGCAUCGCUAGAACACGGGAGAGGUAAGCGGAAUUCCGAGUGUAGAGGUGAAAUUCGUAGAUAUUCGGAAGAACACCAGUGGCGAAGGCGGCUUACUGGACCGUUGUUGACGCUGAGGUGCGAAAGCGUGGGGAGCAAACAGGAUUAGAAACCCCCGUAGUCC
Molecule: ribosomal RNA, 273 nt
Filed under: uncultured bacterium
Lineage: Bacteria
Description: partial 16S ribosomal RNA
Rfam family: Bacterial small subunit ribosomal RNA
Source: RNAcentral